This 1617-nucleotide ribosomal RNA is filed under the name Corynebacterium diphtheriae. RNAcentral's name for it is "bacterial LSU rRNA". It matches the Rfam family "Bacterial large subunit ribosomal RNA", at positions 1 to 1557 of the family's 2925-position model. Lineage: Bacteria; Bacillati; Actinomycetota; Actinomycetes; Mycobacteriales; Corynebacteriaceae. The record is from RNAcentral.
GUGUUGUUUGUUAAGGGCACACGGUGGAUGCCUUGGCAUUAUGAGCCGAUGAAGGACGUGUAAGGCCGCGAUAGGCCUCGGGGAGUUGCCAAUAGAGCGUUGAUCCGAGGGUGUCCGAAUGGGGAAACCUGGCCAUGGUUAUGUGUGGUUACCCAUCAGUGAAUUCAUAGCUGGUGUGGGGGUGACGCGGGGAAGUGAAACAUCUCAGUACCCGUAGGAGAAGAAAAUAAUUAAUGAUUCUGCUAGUAGUGGCGAACGAACGUGGAUGAGGCUAAACCGUAUGCGUGUGAUACCUGGCAGGGGUUGCGUGUGUGGUGUUGUGGGGCGUUGUUGGAGGAGGCUGCCGGCUCCUCGCUUGUGAUGUGUGUGUUAGCGGAAGUGGUUUGGAAUGGCCUGCCGUAGUGGGUGAGAGUCCCGUACGUGAAAACAUGUGCAUGCGAGUGGAUGAUGUUCCCGAGUAGCAGCGGGCUCGUGGAAUCUGCUGUGAAUCUGCCGGGACCACCCGGUAAGCCUAAAUACUUAUGAUGACCGAUAGCGGAUUAGUACCGUGAGGGAAUGGUGAAAAGUACCCCGGGAGGGGAGUGAAAUAGUACCUGAAACCGUGUGCUUACAAUCCGUCAGAGCCUCUUUUUGUUAGGUGAUGGCGUGCCUUUUGAAGAAUGAGCCUGCGAGUCAGCGGCAUGUCGCGAGGUUAACCCGUGUGGGGUAGUCGUAGCGAAAGCGAAUCCUAAUGAGGGUGUUUUUUUAGUGGCAUGUCCUGGACCCGAAGCGGGGUGAUCUACCCAUGGCCAGUGUGAAGCAGCUGUAAGAGGUUGUGGAGGCGCGAACCCACUUAGGUUGAAAACUGAGGGGAUGAGCUGUGGGUAGGGGUGAAAGGCCAAUCAAACUCCGUGAUAGCUGGUUCUCCCCGAAAUGCAUUUAGGUGCAGCGUUGUGUGUUUCUUGCUGGAGGUAGAGCUACUGGUUGGUUGAGCGGGACUACAAUCUUAGCAAUGUCAGCCAAACUCCGAAUGCCGGUAAUGUUAAGCAUGGCAGUGAGACUGCGGGGGAUAAGCUCCGUUGGUCGAGAGGGAAACAGCCCAGAUCGCCGGUUAAGGCCCCUAAGGGUGUACUAAGUGGAAAAGGAUGUGGGAUCGCGAAGACAGCCAGGAGGUUGGCUUAGAAGCAGCCAUCCUUGAAAGAGUGCGUAAUAGCUCACUGGUCGAGUGGUUCUGCGCCGACAAUGUAGUGGGGCUCAAGUACACCGCCGAAGCCGCGGCAGUCAGCAAUUUUUUUGUUGGUUGGGUAGGGGAGCGUCGUGCACUGCUGUGAAGCACCUGGGUGACUUGAUGGUGUGGAGUGUGUGCGAGUGAGAAUGCAGGCAUGAGUAACGAAUGAAAAGUGGAAAACUUUUCCGCCGGAUGACUAAGGGUUCCUGGGUUAAGCUAAUCUUCCCAGGGUGAGUCGGGACCUAAGGCGAGGCCGACAGGCGUAGUCGAUGGAUAACCAGUUGAUAUUCUGGUACCCGUGUAUGUGCGCCCAGUGGUGAAUCAGUGGUACUAACCAUCCAUGGAUCUGCUGGUCAUGCUUUGUGUGUGGUUGGUGGUGAUGUGCGUGGGAUCUUCGUUGGUAGUAGCCA